RNAcentral lists this ribosomal RNA (885 nucleotides) under uncultured organism. RNAcentral describes it as "bacterial SSU rRNA". It matches the Rfam family "Bacterial small subunit ribosomal RNA", at positions 404 to 1320 of the family's 1533-position model. The record is from RNAcentral.
GAUGAUGAAGGCCCUCGGGUCGUAAAAUCCUUUUCAGGGGGAAGAGGAAGGACGGUACNCCUGGAAUAAGCGUCGGCUAACUACGUGCCAGCAGCCGCGGUAAGACGUAGGACGCAAGCGUUAUCCGGAUUUACUGGGCGUAAAGCGUCUGUAGGCGGUUGGGUAAGUUGGGCGUGAAAGCUCCGUGCUCAACGCGGAGAGGUCGUUCAAUACUGCCGAACUAGAGGACAUCAGAGGAGCAUGGAAUUUCCGGUGUAGCGGUAAAAUGCGCAGAUAUCGGAAGGAACACCAGUGGCGAAGGCGGUGCUCUGGGGUGUGCCUGACGCUGAGAGACGAAAGCUAGGGGAGCGAACAGGAUUAGAGACCCUGGUAGUCCUAGCCCUAAACGAUGGAUGCUAGAUGUGGGGCCGAGAAGGCUCCGUGUCGCAGUUAACGCGGUAAGCAUCCCGCCUGGGGAUUACGGCCGCAAGGCUAAAACUCAAACGAAUUGACGGGGCCCCGCACAAGCAGCGGAGCGUGUGGUUUAAUUCGAUGCUACACGAAGAACCUUACCUGGGUUUGACAUGUAAGUGGUAGUGAAGCGAAAGCGGAGCGACCCUUCGGGGAGCUUACACAGGUGCUGCAUGGCUGUCGUCAGCUCGUGCCGUGAGGUGUCGGGUUAAGUCCCGUAACGAGCGCAACCCUUGCCCUUAGUUACAAGUGUCUAAGGGGACUGCCGGCGGUAAGCCGGAGGAAGGUGGGGAUGACGUCAAGUCAGCAUAGCCCUUAUAUCCAGGGCUACACACACGCUACAAUGGUCAGUACAAAGGGCAGCGAAGCCGCGAGGUGAAGCGAAUCCCACCAAAGCUGAUCUAAGUUCGGAUUGCAGGCUGCAACUCGCCUGCA